GCUGACGAGCGGCGGACGGGUGAGUAAUGUAUGGGGAUCUGCCCGAUAGAGGGGGAUAACCACUGGAAACGGUGGCUAAUACCGCAUAAUCUCUUAGGAGCAAAGCAGGGGAACUUCGGUCCUUGCGCUAUCGGAUGAACCCAUAUGGGAUUAGCUAGUAGGUGAGGUAAUGGCUCACCUAGGCGACGAUCCCUAGCUGGUCUGAGAGGAUGAUCAGCCACACUGGGACUGAGACACGGCCCAGACUCCUACGGGAGGCAGCAGUGGGGAAUAUUGCACAAUGGGCGCAAGCCUGAUGCGGCCAUGCCGCGUGUAUGAAGAAGGCCCUAGGGUUGUAAAGUACUUUCAGUCGGGAGGAAGGCGUUGAUGCUAAUAUCAUCAACGAUUGACGUUACCGACAGAAGAAGCACCGGCUAACUCCGUGCCAGCAGCCGCGGUAAUACGGAGGGU
This 450-nucleotide ribosomal RNA is filed under the name Providencia vermicola. RNAcentral describes it as "bacterial SSU rRNA". It matches the Rfam family "Bacterial small subunit ribosomal RNA", at positions 87 to 533 of the family's 1533-position model. The record is from RNAcentral. Lineage: Bacteria; Pseudomonadati; Pseudomonadota; Gammaproteobacteria; Enterobacterales; Morganellaceae.